Long non-coding RNA from Hydra vulgaris (swiftwater hydra), 984 nucleotides. RefSeq lists it as uncharacterized. NCBI's taxonomy places the organism in Eukaryota, Metazoa, Cnidaria, Hydrozoa, Anthoathecata, Hydridae. The record is from RefSeq and is a predicted model, not a curated record.
UUUUAAUGGUGUGGUUAGCUAGAUUAUUUUACUCUAUUAAAUAACUUAAUUGUUGAGUAAACUUGAAUGCUUAAAAAAACUAGAUUAAGUUUUUAAUUCUACUUAAUUAUCAACUGCUUUUAACGCAAAAAAUUUAUUUGGAUUUGAUAAAAGGGAACAACAUUCUCAGAGUUUUUCUUCUUUAACUCUAAAAAUUAAAAAUAAUAAUAUCAGUGGUUUUUAUAAAGGAAUUACUAUAGUUAAAAAGGCUGAAAGGGAAAAAUACGAUGAUUUGUUUCAAGAAAGAAAGUGACUUACUUUAAAUUGUCAUUUUAAAAUUUUUAUUCUUUAAUGAUAUUCUGGUGUUAUUACCAAAUGUUUAGCAGUAUGAAACCUAUAAUAUUAUAUACCAUACUAUAUACCCUAUUUUACUUAUAAAGUUAAUAAUCUGUAAAGUAAUUUGUAUAAAUUUUUUAAUUGUAAAAUUGCUACAUAAGAAGACAAGUUGUUAGAUGAAAUUCAAACAUUUUCUAUGUUUGUGUUGUGUAGGUCAAAAAAUAAUAAACAAAGAUGACCAAACGAUUCAUUUUAAGACACAUCAAUCUUCAUCAUCUUUAAAUAAAAAGGAUAAACAUUAUGGAUUUCCAUUAUCUCAAGCAAAAACAAAGAGUUCAAAAUAUUAGUGGUAAGAACUGUCAAAAACUUGUGAUAGCUAUGAUGAAGAGUUUUAUGACAAAUUCACUCAUGGCCAAAUCUAAUAUGGCAGCUGGAAAAGGCAAAGAAUCUUUUUAGUUAAACCAAGCUAUACAACUUAAUAAAAGUUUGUGCAUCGACUUCUCACAGAGUCGAUUGUCGAUGCAAUAAUUGCUGAUUCGUGAAAGCGGGCAACUUUUGCUUGUCUUAAAGUGCCUUAAAUCCAACAGAUAUCAUCGUUAUAAUAUUACUUUGUUUGUAAAUUGUUUUAAAAAAUAAAUUAAAAAAUAACUUAUAAAUAAAAAUUUUAUU